AUUGAACGCUGGCGGCAUGCUUUACACAUGCAAGUCGAACGGUAACAGGCCUUCGGGUGCUGACGAGUGGCGAACGGGUGAGUAAUGCAUCGGAACGUACCCAGAGGUGGGGGAUAACGCAGCGAAAGCUGUGCUAAUACCGCAUGUGAUCUGAGGAUGAAAGCGGGGGACCGAGCAGCAAUGUUUGGCCUCGCGCCUUUGGAGCGGCCGAUGUCGGAUUAGCUAGUUGGGGGGGUAAAGGCCUACCAAGGCGACGAUCCGUAGCUGGUCUGAGAGGACGGCCACCCACACUGGGACUUGGACACGGCCCAGACUCCUACGGGAGGCAGCAGUGGGGAAUUUUGGACAAUGGGCGCAAGCCUGAUCCAGCAAUGCCGCGUGCGGGAAGAAGGCCUUCGGGUUGUAAACCGCUUUUGGCAGGAACGAAACGGUGUCCGCUAAUACCGGGCGCUAAUGACGGUACCUGCAGAAUAAGCACCGGCUAACUACGUG
This 492-nucleotide ribosomal RNA is filed under the name uncultured bacterium. RNAcentral's name for it is "partial 16S ribosomal RNA". It matches the Rfam family "Bacterial small subunit ribosomal RNA", at positions 29 to 507 of the family's 1533-position model. The record is from RNAcentral.